GUUUUUCAUCCUCUUUUGCUGAAGAAGAAGAAAAGAAGAGGAGGACUGUUGCCAUCGCCGCCCCGUUGGUAGCCCUCGCUCUGGUGCUCGUCCUCGUGGCCAUUGUCGUCGUCAUCAAGUGUCAUCCACGCAAACCAGACGAUUACGCACCAGCGAGUGCCGAAGUGCCGAGCUCGCCGAAAAGGUCAAAAGCGGUGCAAAACACAGCGGCCGGCGCAACACCGUGACAACGUUUCAUGGACACGAUAAAGAACUUAUGCCUCUGGGUUUUGUGAUCAUGUCUGUCUGCACAUGUUGCUCCAAGGUCUGCUCCAAGGGCCACAGCAGCUAUCCAUGCUAAUCGUUGGGCCACAACGGCGGUUUCCAUUAUUUGUGAGCCUUCAGCUAUCGGUGUCUUUCUGAAAGAAAAGUUGUUUGUUUAUUUUAAACACACAAAAUGCAAUUCUCUUAGUUUUUUUGUCUAGUUUGACGGUAAACUAUGAGUGUCAUUAACCAGCCUGAAUUGUCUUAUUUUGGGGGGGGUGUUCGAGGAUAGACAAACACAAUGUUA
Hippocampus comes (tiger tail seahorse) is the source of this 550-nucleotide long non-coding RNA. RefSeq lists it as uncharacterized. The record is from RefSeq and is a predicted model, not a curated record. NCBI's taxonomy places the organism in Eukaryota, Metazoa, Chordata, Actinopteri, Syngnathiformes, Syngnathidae. The transcript has 3 exons.